RNAcentral lists this ribosomal RNA (466 nucleotides) under uncultured bacterium. RNAcentral's name for it is "partial 16S ribosomal RNA". It matches the Rfam family "Bacterial small subunit ribosomal RNA", at positions 29 to 507 of the family's 1533-position model. The record is from RNAcentral.
ACGAACGCUGGCGGCGUGCUUAACCCAUGCAAGUCGCACGGAAAGGCCCUGCUUUUGUGGGGUGCUCGAGUGGCGAACGGGUGAGUAACACGUGAGUAACCUGCCCUUGACUUUGGGAUAACUUCAGGAAACUGGGGCUAAUACCGGAUAGGAGCUCCUGCUGCAUGGUGGGGGUUGGAAAGUUUCGGCGGUUGGGGAUGGACUCGCGGCUUAUCAGCUUGUUGGUGGGGUAGUGGCUUACCAAGGCUUUGACGGGUAGCCGGCCUGAGAGGGUGACCGGCCACAUUGGGACUGAGAUACGGCCCAGACUCCUACGGGAGGCAGCAGUGGGGAAUAUGGCACAAUGGGCGGAAGCCUGAUGCAGCAACGCCGCGUGCGGGAUGACGGCCUUCGGGUUGUAACCGCUUUCGCCUGUGACGAAGCGUGAGUGACGGUAAUGGGUAAAGAAGCACCGGCUAACUACGUG